Fukomys damarensis (Damara mole-rat) is the source of this 2186-nucleotide long non-coding RNA. RefSeq lists it as uncharacterized. The record is from RefSeq and is a predicted model, not a curated record. The transcript is spliced from 4 exons. NCBI's taxonomy places the organism in Eukaryota, Metazoa, Chordata, Mammalia, Rodentia, Bathyergidae.
GGACGUCACCCUAUGGUAGGAAAACACUUCUGCUGGUUGAAACCUGAAGGGCAGGGCAAGGCCCCCUUCACUGCAAGCUCCAAACUCAGCUCUCUCACAGGUUUGCCCGGAACUGGGAAACUUCACUCUGUACCAUGCAAUUAGCUUGACCAGGCGUGCUGGCCUCUUCCCUGGCCUCCAAGGUAACACCAGCAAUGAACAUGGCCAAAGUUGGUGGAGUGGCCUCUGGUAAUUUCCUAGCCGGCUUCUCAUCGCAGGGUGAUGAUCCAAAAGGAGAGAAACCAGUCUGCUGAAGAGACAUCUGCAUGGUCAUGGUUAUUGCAGCACUAUUCACAACUGCCAAGAAACAAACAAGUCACACAUCAGCUGAUGAGUGCAUAAGGAAACAGCGGCACAUGCGCACUGGUGCACUGUCCAGUGGUAGAAAUGAGUGACAUGCUGACCUUCGCUGCAACUGGAAUAGAACCAGAGGCCCUUCUGUGAAGUGAAAUAAGCCAGGAAGAGAAAGGCGAGGAUGCAUGGUCUCACUCACAUGUGGAAGAGAAGACACUGAUCUCAUAGAAGUUGAGGUUGAGUGGUGGCUCAUAGGGGCUUCGAGAGUAGGGAGGAUGAGGGGAGAUUGAUCAGUGGGCAUUAAGUUAUAGGUAGGCAGAAAAGAAAUUCUAGGGUGCUAUCGCACAGGGAGGUGAUUGCAGAUAACAAUAAUGACAUGCAUAUAUAUAUAAAGUAUGAGAAAGCUAGCAGAAAACAUUAUGAAUAUUUUUGCUAUAAACCCAUGAUAAAUACGUUUGACCCGAUUUUAACUUUAUAAAAUGUGUACAUGUAUGAGAAUAUCAUAUGCUACCCCAUAAGUACGUAAAAUCCAUAUGGUUUUAUACAUCAGUUAAAAUAAAUGUAAUAUAAAUUAAAAGAAAGAAGAAAAAGCUAGUAGUUAUUCAGAGAUAUAGAUGUCAGGAAAUGGCAAAGAACCAAAAGUUUUUAAUAGUGAGAAAAUAAGCAACUAUGGAAGAUCUAUACCAGAAGGCAAAGAUUGGCCCUUUGUUCUAAUGGUUUUUUUUACCUACCUGGAAACUUCUUAAAAUUGAAUUUAAAGAUCACAUUUUAUGACCCUUUCAUGCUCCCUGUGUGAUCGAUCCUUAACCAAUAUGGCUGGUAAAAAGAGCAUCUCUAUUUGGUGCUAUUUCAUUAUGUGUAUUUAUCCCAAAUCUAUGUAGAAAUAACUCAAAGUUUCAAUCUUAAAGGGCAUUUUUUUUUUUUAUUCAGUGUGCAGUUCAAUCAGAAUGAAACCCUUCAGGGUGUUUUGGACCUUUCUUUGCUUUGUGAGUUUUAGCUUUUCAUGAAGCAACAUCAUUAGUAAAUGCCAGAGCCCGCAAUAUUGACUAUGCCCCAAACACGCUGUGAGCAGGGCAGGCUGCAAAGAGUCAGCCCCUCGACGGGCUCACUUUAAGAAGGAGGUCUGCCUGAAGCUGUGUGACUCACAGGACAUCACGAGCAUUGUGGGAGUGAGCAGGUUAACACCACCUCCCUGCUAACCCACGGCCAAGACCAGAGUAACGGCCUGUGAAGCUGUGAGGCUGAUACAAGACGACAUCCAUAGCUGAGGUCGGGCUGAUCGCACCCAAACUCCAUUCCCACAGUGGGUCCUUCACAGCUUGAAGGACAAUGCUCCAAUUACAACCAGGUAUUUUGUAUGUUCUGUUCCUGAUUUGAAAAUGCUCUGACUUCUCUUUAAAGCCAUGCUUGCAUUGGUUUCCAUGGAGAUUUCACGUACCGCACAUCUAUAUACAUAUUGCACCUUUACCCUGACUGACAAAUAAUAAAAUUUGGUGGAAGAGAUGGGCCAGGGCCUUUUGCCAAAGGGAGCAUUGGCCAUCCCGGUUCACACUUUCUCUUUAACUCUAAGUUUUUCUUCAACUCUGCGUCGCACACUGGCAGGUGGGGACUACAGACUUACUGCAGGAGUCUCUGUUACAAAACAAUGCCCACUCAUUUCAACCUUGAACAGGAAUUGUUAAAAGAAAAAAGAACAUUUAAAAAUCUGCAAUGUUCUCCCCAUUUGAAGACUCAUCACUGGCGUCAAUAUGAAAAGAAACUCUAAAUAAAUUCUGGAAAAGAAAAAAAUAUUUGUACAAUGUAUUCCAAAUACAAUAAAAAUCCUUAGAAGCCAUUAUAAAAUGUGAUCGGUA